AAAGGUGUCCACAUAUUUUGGGUGGCCACAGAGAGUGGUAGAAGACUUUGGUAGUAAUACUAUGGCAUUCUAUUUGAAGACUUUCUACACUGUGUUGGUACUGACACUGACAGGAGGCCUUGAUCCUACCAGUGUCUCAGCAGCAUCUCCUAAUGCAAGUGGACCUGAUUUAACAGGCCUUUCCUAUGUGGGUUGGGUGAGAGCUGGAUAUGAGACGAACUUCACCUGUACCUCCAACUGCAUCCCAGGAUGCACCUACACCUGGUUGCUGAAGGGGCGCACUUUCAUUGGGAGUAAGUUGACCUGGACCCCAGACGGUCUGGACCACAUUGUGGAGCUGCAGUGUACUGCGGUCAACACAGAGAAUGGGCGCUCCAAGAGCAUAACCACAAUCUUGGAGGUGAAAAGCUCAGUGUCCGUGAGGCCCAGCCCACAGCUCUCUCUCCCCGUCCUCAACCAAUCCUUCAGCCUGGACUGUAACGGCUCCUUCCCAGGCCUGCCAGUGCUCUGGUACAAAGACGGCCAGGUUGUAGCUCCAGACGCCAUGAUAAACCAGUUGGAACACAACACCUCCCUCCACUUUAACUCCCUGCUGCCCUCUGAUGGUGGCUUCUAUCAGUGUGAGGUGACCAUGGCAAACAUGGCUAAAAGCAAGGUCAUAAGCUUGGGCUACCUGCUAAACUUUGAUCAUUGGAGUGUUAGUAUCAGUGGCCCUGACACAGUGUUGCCUGGGAGGGAAUACACCUUUACCUGCCAGGUGAACUGCACUGUUGACCUGGACUGCUCCAUCCGCUGGCCGUUGAGGGGGAGUAUCCUUACUAGCGCCUACUUCUCCGUGAGGAAGAAUAUCCUGAAAUGGAUCCCGUCGGUACCUGGUACGGUCCAGGUCUUCACCUGUGUGGUGGAGAACACAGCAGCUGGACGCUCUGCAGAGGCCUCCAAGACAGUGAAGGUCACAGGACCCACAGUAUCAGGAUCUGAAACAGUGAGGCUGAGUGGAGUUUUAGGACUGGUUCUCUGUGUGGGUCAGCUGUUUCUCCUGGAUCCCUAGAGGCGGCGCUAUAAGACUACAGACUAUGGGAAGGACAGAGGAGAACGUUGAAUAAGUUCAGGUUCACCUUCAGAACAAAUAAUAAAACAGGAACCAACGUUUUGAAACUCUUAAUCCUGUCCAAUAAGAAUGCUCAUUUCUCAGAAUAAGAAUAUAAGGAUAUAAGAAUGUUUCCUCUGUUGUGGGAUAAUGAUAGUUGAGUCAUUGGAAGUUUCCAGUGAAUUAUGUUUAUCAUUCACAUGCAGUAGGUAACGAUGAGAAAAUAACAAAACGUACAUAUUGAUGUAAUCUAUGUAAUAUUUUCUUAUUUGCAAUACGUACUGUAUUAUUAUCUUUGUUGUUGUUGAGAUUACCUUGUAAAAUAAACUCCCAAAUGAGUGUGGUAAUAAAUA
This 1443-nucleotide long non-coding RNA is filed under the name Salmo trutta (river trout). Its description in RNAcentral is "lncRNA (ENSSTUG00000038921.1)". Lineage: Eukaryota; Metazoa; Chordata; Actinopteri; Salmoniformes; Salmonidae. The record is from RNAcentral.